GACGAACCGUGCGAACGUUAUUCGGAAUCACUGGGCUUAAAGCGCGUGUAGGCGGGACGGCACGUCGGUCGCUGAAAUCCCCCGGCUUAACCGGGGAACGGGCGCCGAUACGACCGCCCUGGAGGGACGUAGGGGGAGCUGGAACUUCCGGUGGAGCGGUGAAAUGCGUUGAGAUCGGAAGGAACGCCCGUGGCGAAAGCGAGCUCCUGGACGUUUUCUGACGCUGAGACGCGAAAGCCAGGGGAGCGAACGGG
This 254-nucleotide ribosomal RNA is filed under the name uncultured bacterium. Its description in RNAcentral is "partial 16S ribosomal RNA". It matches the Rfam family "Bacterial small subunit ribosomal RNA", at positions 524 to 776 of the family's 1533-position model. The record is from RNAcentral.